GUUUGCCAGCAUCACAGUGAGUAUGAGUGAGUUCCAAUCACACCGUCUUGGCUAAACGCCAACGAAAGAUA
This 71-nucleotide transfer RNA is filed under the name Cirrhinus mrigala (mrigala). Its description in RNAcentral is "tRNA-Gly". Lineage: Eukaryota; Metazoa; Chordata; Actinopteri; Cypriniformes; Cyprinidae. The record is from RNAcentral.